RNAcentral lists this ribosomal RNA (126 nucleotides) under Rhizoctonia fusispora. Its description in RNAcentral is "5.8S ribosomal RNA". It matches the Rfam family "5.8S ribosomal RNA", at positions 4 to 129 of the family's 154-position model. From Rfam's summary of the family: 5.8S ribosomal RNA (5.8S rRNA) is a component of the large subunit of the eukaryotic ribosome. It is transcribed by RNA polymerase I as part of the 45S precursor that also contains 18S and 28S rRNA. Lineage: Eukaryota; Fungi; Basidiomycota; Agaricomycetes; Cantharellales; Ceratobasidiaceae. The record is from RNAcentral.
UUUCAACAACGGAUCUCUUGGCUCUCGCAUCGAUGAAGAACGCAGCGAAAUGCGAUAAGUAAUGUGAAUUGCAGAAUUCAGUGAAUCAUCGAAUCUUUGAACGCACCUUGCGCUCCUUGGUAUUCC